This 421-nucleotide long non-coding RNA is filed under the name Physcomitrium patens. RNAcentral's name for it is "long non-coding RNA (PPAT_LNC014262)". Lineage: Eukaryota; Viridiplantae; Streptophyta; Bryopsida; Funariales; Funariaceae. The record is from RNAcentral.
UGUCUAACCAUUGGAAAGUCAUGAUGAGUUUGAAGAACAUAUAAUUGUAUCCCGCCUUUUAGAAUGUAUAAUUGUCCUUUAAAAUAAAGUAAAUUGUUCUUGAAUUCAAACUUAGAAAUAUUAUAAGAUUUAAAAGGAUUAUUUUUGAUAUCAUAGAUAAGAGAAUCAAAAGACAUACUUGAUUGAAUUUGCUUGACAAAGAUUGAAUCAACAAUCAAUGUUGAUUUUAUUACUCAAAGAUGAAAAUGCUCUAGUUUCAAGAGAAUAAUUCCUUAUUGAUCAAAAAAUAUUUUUUCUUCUUUUGGUGCAAAAUAAAAACUUCUAAAAGGAAAUUUUAAAAAUCUUGUUGUUUUUUUGGAUCAAUAAGUAUUCUUGAAAUCAAAUCUUAAUAAAGACGUACUCCAACAAGCUUGGUGACAAU